Molecule: ribosomal RNA, 256 nt
Filed under: uncultured Gardnerella sp.
Lineage: Bacteria; Bacillati; Actinomycetota; Actinomycetes; Bifidobacteriales; Bifidobacteriaceae
Description: partial 16S ribosomal RNA
Rfam family: Bacterial small subunit ribosomal RNA
Source: RNAcentral
CGAACGGGUGAGUAAUGCGUGACCAACCUGCCCCAUGCUCCAGAAUAGCUCUUGGAAACGGGUGGUAAUGCUGGAUGCUCCAACUUGACGCAUGUCUUGUUGGGAAAGUGUUUAGUGGCAUGGGAUGGGGUCGCGUCCUAUCAGCUUGUAGGCGGGGUAAUGGCCCACCUAGGCUUCGACGGGUAGCCGGCCUGAGAGGGCGGACGGCCACAUUGGGACUGAGAUACGGCCCAGACUCCUACGGGGGCAGCAGCUU